Molecule: ribosomal RNA, 522 nt
Filed under: uncultured Pedobacter sp.
Lineage: Bacteria; Pseudomonadati; Bacteroidota; Sphingobacteriia; Sphingobacteriales; Sphingobacteriaceae
Description: partial 16S ribosomal RNA
Rfam family: Bacterial small subunit ribosomal RNA
Source: RNAcentral
UAGAGUUUGAUCAUGGCUCAGGAUGAACGCUAGCGGCAGGCCUAAUACAUGCAAGUCGAACGAUACCAGAGAGCUUGCUUUCUGGGAAAGUGGCGCACGGGUGCGUAACGCGUAUGCAACCUACCUUAAUCAGGGGGAUAGCCUCUCGAAAGAGAGAUUAACACCGCAUAAAAUCMCACUUCGGCAUCGAAGAAUGAUCAAAUAUUUAUAGGAUUAAGAUGGGCAUGCGUGACAUUAGCUAGUUGGUGAGGUAACGGCUCACCAAGGCUACGAUGUCUAGGGGAUCUGAGAGGAUGACCCCCCACACUGGUACUGAGACACGGACCAGACUCCUACGGGAGGCAGCAGUAAGGAAUAUUGGUYMAWKGRRGSMAAYUYUGAACCAGCCAUGCCGCGUGCAGGAAGACGGCCCUAUGGGUUGUAAACUGCUUUUAUACGGGAAUAAACCUCUCUACGUGUAGAGAGUUGAAUGUACUGUAAGAAUAAGAUCGGCUAACUCCGUGCCAGCCGCCGCGGUAAUAC